GCGCCUGUAGCUCAGCGGAUAGAGCGUUGGCCUCCGAAGCCAAAGGUCGUGGGUUCAAUUCCCGCCAGGCGCG
RNAcentral lists this transfer RNA (73 nucleotides) under Candidatus Ichthyocystis hellenicum. RNAcentral's name for it is "bacterium 2013Arg42i tRNA". It matches the Rfam family "tRNA". Rfam says of the family: Transfer RNA (tRNA) molecules are approximately 80 nucleotides in length. Their secondary structure includes four short double-helical elements and three loops (D, anti-codon, and T loops). Lineage: Bacteria; Pseudomonadati; Pseudomonadota; Betaproteobacteria; Burkholderiales. The record is from Rfam by way of RNAcentral.